CAGUAGCCGCGGUAAUACGAAGGGUGCAAGCGUUAAUCGGAAUUACUGGGCGUAAAGCGUGCGUAGGCGGUGAGUUAAGUCUGCUGUGAAAUCCCCGGGCUCAACCUGGGAAUGGCAGUGGAUACUGGCAAGCUAGAGUGUGUCAGAGGAUGGUGGAAUUCCCGGUGUAGCGGUGAAAUGCGUAGAGAUCGGGAGGAACAUCAGUGGCGAAGGCGGCCAUCUGGGACAACACUGACGCUGAGGCACGAAAGCGUGGGGAGCAAACAGGAUUAGAUACCCCUGUAGUCCCUGUCUCUUAUAC
RNAcentral lists this ribosomal RNA (301 nucleotides) under uncultured bacterium. Its description in RNAcentral is "partial 16S ribosomal RNA". It matches the Rfam family "Bacterial small subunit ribosomal RNA", at positions 509 to 807 of the family's 1533-position model. The record is from RNAcentral.